UUUGACCUCAGAUCAGACAAGACUACCCGCUGAAUUUAAGCAUAUUAAUAAGCGGAGGAAAAGAAACUAACAAGGAUUCCCCUAGUAACGGCGAGUGAAGCGGGAAGAGCUCAAACUUAAAAUCUCCGUUGCUUGCAACGGCGAAUUGUAGUCUCGAGAAACGUUUUCAAGGCGGAUGUACUGCGCUCAAGUUGCUUGGAACGGCACAUCGUAGAGGGUGACAAUCCCGUAUGUGGCGCAGUGCACUGUUCACGAUGCGUUUUCUAUGAGUCGGGUUGGUUGGGAAUCCAGCCCAAAAUGGGAGGUAAACUCCUUCUAAAGCUAAAUAUUGGCACGAGACCGAUAGCGAACAAGUACCGUGAGGGAAAGAUGAAAAGCACUUUGAAAAGAAAGUUAAUAGUACGUGAAACCGUUAGGAGGGAAGCGCAUGGAAUUAGCAAUGCACUGUCGAGAUUCAGGCAGUUGGUUUCUGGUACGGGUGUUUGACAGAUCUGAAUGGACUGUCGGCGCUCGUCACUGGUUUUUGGCUGUCGCAUUUCCCGACUGUGUGCGUCAACAACUGUUCGGACUGGGUGAUGAGCCCCGCGAGAAGGUAGCUUGCUUCGGCAAGUGUUAUAGAUCGUGGUGUGCGAGCCCGGGUCGGACAGAGGAGUCGCGGCACAUGCUCUUUUGGGCUGGCCUCUCUUGUCCCAGUCAGUUGUCGACCAUGGCGGACUGCGUGCAGUGCGCUUGAACUGCAGCGGGCUGUUGGCAGGAUGAGUGCACACACUGUGCCAAGGUUGUUGGCGGUCAUAUGGUUUCUUGCGACCCGUCUUGAAACACGGACCAAGGAGUCUAACAUGUGUGCGAGUCUUUGGGUGAUUGAAACCCCCAGGCACAAUGAAAGUAAAGGUUGCUUGCAGCUGAAGUGAGAUCCGUCCUCUCGGGGGCGGCGCAUCAUUGACCGACCUAUUCUACUCCUAGAAAGGUUUGAGUAAGAGCACAUCUGUUGGGACCCGAAAGAUGGUGAACUAUGCUUGAGUAGGGCGAAGCCAGAGGAAACUCUGGUGGAGGCUCGUAGCGAUUCUGACGUGCAAAUCGAUCGUCAAACUUGGGUAUACGGGGCAAAGA
This 1110-nucleotide ribosomal RNA is filed under the name Cytaeis sp. MAN-2015. RNAcentral describes it as "eukaryotic LSU rRNA". It matches the Rfam family "Eukaryotic large subunit ribosomal RNA", at positions 1 to 930 of the family's 3401-position model. The record is from RNAcentral. Lineage: Eukaryota; Metazoa; Cnidaria; Hydrozoa; Anthoathecata; Cytaeididae.